GUCCACGCUGUAAACGAUGUCAACUAGCCGUUGGGGAUCUUGAAUCUUUAGUGGCGCAGCUAACGCACUAAGUUGACCGCCUGGGGAGUACGGCCGCAAGGUUAAAACUCAAAUGAAUUGACGGGGGCCCGCACAAGCGGUGGAGCAUGUGGUUUAAUUCGACGCAACGCGAAGAACCUUACCUGGCCUUGACAUGUUGGGAACUUUCCAGAGAUGGAUUGGUGCCUUCGGGAACCCAAACAC
This 243-nucleotide ribosomal RNA is filed under the name uncultured bacterium. RNAcentral describes it as "partial 16S ribosomal RNA". It matches the Rfam family "Bacterial small subunit ribosomal RNA", at positions 793 to 1035 of the family's 1533-position model. The record is from RNAcentral.